GGGACGGGCCGUGACUGGCGCUUGGGUGGAGUACCACCGGGGAGCGGCCCGGCGGACACCGCCACCUGCCGCGCGCCUGGGCGAUCAGC
This is a regulatory RNA element of Streptomyces kanasensis, 89 nucleotides long. It matches the Rfam family "ZMP/ZTP riboswitch aptamer (pfl RNA motif)". Rfam says of the family: Previously known as pfl RNA. ZMP is also known as AICAR. Lineage: Bacteria; Bacillati; Actinomycetota; Actinomycetes; Kitasatosporales; Streptomycetaceae. The record is from Rfam.